Molecule: ribosomal RNA, 253 nt
Filed under: uncultured Parabacteroides sp.
Lineage: Bacteria; Pseudomonadati; Bacteroidota; Bacteroidia; Bacteroidales; Tannerellaceae
Description: partial 16S ribosomal RNA
Rfam family: Bacterial small subunit ribosomal RNA
Source: RNAcentral
UACGGAGGAUCCGAGCGUUAUCCGGAUUUAUUGGGUUUAAAGGGUGCGUAGGCGGCCUUUUAAGUCAGCGGUGAAAGUCUGUGGCUCAACCAUAGAAUUGCCGUUGAAACUGGGGGGCUUGAGUAUGUUUGAGGCAGGCGGAAUGCGUGGUGUAGCGGUGAAAUGCAUAGAUAUCACGAAGAACUCCGAUUGCGAAGGCAGCUUACCAGUCUGCGACUGACGCUCAGGCACGAAAGUGUGGGUAUCGAACAGG